Chinchilla lanigera (long-tailed chinchilla) is the source of this 789-nucleotide long non-coding RNA. RefSeq lists it as uncharacterized. The record is from RefSeq and is a predicted model, not a curated record. NCBI's taxonomy places the organism in Eukaryota, Metazoa, Chordata, Mammalia, Rodentia, Chinchillidae. The transcript has 2 exons.
UCUUUGGCUUCUGCGUUGGAUCCUUCAGCCUUCCGGUGUAGGCUCAUCAGCCUUCCAUUACAGACCCAUUGGCCUCCUGAUAAGGACUUGUGUGGAACGCUGCAGUGAAUUCCAGACCCUGGACUGAAUCCUUCGGUUUCCAGUGUGCAGACACCCUCUGCACGCUUCCUUAUCCAACUGUAUGGCUGACCGUGUUCUGUGGUCUGCAGCAGAUUCAUCGCCCACAGGAAGUGGGAUUUGGAGUCAGCUACAUCCUGAUUUAACACCCUUCCCACUAUUUACCACCUGGAUGAACUUGGACAAGUCACUGAGUGACUCUUGCAUUGAUAAAUGAGGCCAGCGCCAGUCCGUAGAACUGGUGUGAAGAUUAAAUGAAAAGCACUUUGCACAAUCCCUGGCACAAAGCAGGCAGUGAACACAACGGAGCUGCAUUCUCCAUUGCUACUCAGGUGCACUGUCGUCUGUGUCAGUUAUGAGUUAGUUUGAAAGGCUUUCCUUGUGAGACUAUCCCUCGGGUUUCCCACAAAAUAAGACCUAACCGGAAAAUAAUCAGCUUUGAAAACUAGAACUCAAAAAUGCCAGUCCCUGUGAGCCUAUUCCUCCUUUACCUGCCAUCACUAUUCUGCUCAGAGGCUGCUCUGUAAGGCAGGUAAGGCAAGUCCUGCAUUACCAGUGUAAGUUCUGUAUUACCUGUGCUUCUUUACAGCACAUGCGUAUGGGACCCGACUGUGGGAGGAGAUGACCUUUGCCACAUAAAUGUCAUUUAAAAAAUGGAAAAUUUAAAUCAAG